Molecule: unclassified non-coding RNA, 614 nt
Filed under: Hevea brasiliensis (rubber tree)
Lineage: Eukaryota; Viridiplantae; Streptophyta; Magnoliopsida; Malpighiales; Euphorbiaceae
Source: RNAcentral
GUUUUAAUAUUUUUUCAAUCUAAUCUCUCAUUGCAAGGAGUAUCUAUUAUGACAACUCCCGGAGAAACUAUUCAUAUAAACAAAUAAGCAUACGUACCAGAAACACGAUUUGUCAAGACGAAUAUUUGAGCUAUAAUCUCAAAAAAAGCUGAGCGAAGAGAAUGUAAACAGAAAAGCAUCUCAACAAAAGUUCCACUUGUGCAUUUAUUAACGUCUAUUGCAAGUAACAAUAGCACAGCAGAUUACUCCUUCAGGAUGCCCCAACUUUGACUAGGUCUUCGAGCGCCUUCGAGAUCUGUGCCUCACUUAAACCCUCAAGACGAGCAACCCUCUCAAUGCCCAUGUCAUAUCUAGCCCAUAAUUGCGGCUCGACUCCACUGCAUUCGCGGAUCAAUAUUGGAAAUUUGGGAUUCAAAGUCUUGAGGUCCUUGUAAUUCUUUUCCACAAAUGCCCUAGUGGGGGCGCUUGAAGGAGAGGAUUGGCAGAGCAAGAUUCGAAGCUCCUUCAAAUUCUUGGAUAGCUGUCCUCUCCAUGCCAUUUCAACCUCUCUCGCUGUUCGUGAAUGGAGUGAAGUCUCUGUACCUCAGAUGAAUGAACCCGGACCUUCCCAAAAG